RNAcentral lists this ribosomal RNA (465 nucleotides) under uncultured soil bacterium. RNAcentral describes it as "bacterial SSU rRNA". It matches the Rfam family "Bacterial small subunit ribosomal RNA", at positions 26 to 521 of the family's 1533-position model. The record is from RNAcentral.
AGGACAAACGCUGGCGGAAUGUAUUAGGCAUGCAAGUCGUACGAACCUUCGGGUUAGUGGCGAACGGGUGAGUAACACGUGGGUAACCUGCCUCGUAGUGGGGAAUAACUCGCCGAAAGGCGAGCUAAUACCGCAUAACACCUCUGGUGAGAUUCCAGAUGGUAAAAGCUCCGGCGCUACGAGAGGGGCCCGCGGUCGAUUAGCUAGUUGGUGGGGUAACGGCCUACCAAGGCGACGAUCGAUAGCUGGUCUGAGAGGAUGGUCAGCCACACGGGGACUGAGAUACGGCCCCGACUCCUACGGGCGCAGCAGCUAAGAAUCUGCGCAAUGGGACGAAAGCCUGGACGCAGGCAAUUCCGCGGUGGGGACGAAGGCCUUACGGGUCGUAAACCCCGUUUGCCGAGGAAGAAGUACUGACGGUACCUGCGAAUAAGACACGGCUAACACGUGCCAGCAGCCGACGGU